This 425-nucleotide ribosomal RNA is filed under the name uncultured bacterium. Its description in RNAcentral is "bacterial SSU rRNA". It matches the Rfam family "Bacterial small subunit ribosomal RNA", at positions 359 to 776 of the family's 1533-position model. The record is from RNAcentral.
GAAUCUUGCGCAAUGCGCGAAAGCGUGACGCAGCAACGCCGCGUGGGGGAAGAAGGCCUUCGGGUUGUAAACCCCUUUCAGUUGGGACGAAGCUUCGAGGGUUAAUAGCUCUCUGGAGUGACGGUACCUUCAGAAGAAGCCCCGGCUAACUACGUGCCAGCAGCCGCGGUAAUACGUAGGGGGCUAGCGUUGUCCGGAAUCAUUGGGCGUAAAGCGCGUGUAGGCGGUCCGGUAAGUCCGCUGUGAAAGUCGGGGGCUCAACCCUCGGAUGCCGGUGGAUACUGUCGGGCUUGAGUACGGAAGAGGCGAGUGGAAUUCCUGGUGUAGCGGUGAAAUGCGCAGAUAUCAGGAGGAACACCAAUUGCGAAGGCAGCUCGCUGGGACGUUACUGACGCUGAGACGCGAAAGCGUGGGGAGCAAACAGG